UACGUAGGGGGCAAGCGUUGUCCGGAUUUACUGGGCGUAAAGAGCGCGUAGGCGGAAGCUUAAGUGUGGCCUGAAAGCCCCCGGCUCAACCGGGGAAGGUGGCUGCAAACUGGGCUUCUUGAGGGGGAUAGGGGAAAGUGGAAUUCCGGGUGUAGCGGUGAAAUGCGUAGAGAUCCGGAGGAACACCAGUGGCGAAGGCGGCUUUCUGGGUCCGCCCUGACGCUGAGGCGCGAAAGCGUGGGGAGCGAACGGG
This 253-nucleotide ribosomal RNA is filed under the name Candidatus Pacearchaeota archaeon. Its description in RNAcentral is "partial 16S ribosomal RNA". It matches the Rfam family "Bacterial small subunit ribosomal RNA", at positions 524 to 776 of the family's 1533-position model. The record is from RNAcentral. RNAcentral also lists the same sequence under 2 other names. Lineage: Archaea; Nanobdellati.